GACGAACGCUGGCGGCGUGCUUAACACAUGCAAGUCGAACGGAAAGGCCCUGCUUUUGUGGGGUGCUCGAGUGGCGAACGGGUGAGUAACGCGUGAGUAACCUGCCCUUGACUUUGGGAUAACUUCAGGAAACUGGGGCUAAUACCGGAUAGGAGCUCCUGCCGCAUGGUGGGGGUUGGAAAGUUUCGGCGGUUGGGGAUGGACUCGCGGCUUAUCAGCUUGUUGGUGGGGUAGUGGCUUACCAAGGCUUUGACGGGUAGCCGGCCUGAGAGGGUGACCGGCCACAUUGGGACUGAGAUACGGCCCAGACUCCUACGGGAGGCAGCAGUGGGGAAUAUUGCACAAUGGGCGGAAGCCUGAUGCAGCAACGCCGCGUGCGGGAUGACGGCCUUCGGGUUGUAAACCGCUUUCGCCUGUGACGAAGCGUGAGUGACGGUAAUGGGUAAAGAAGCACCGGCUAACUACGUG
Molecule: ribosomal RNA, 468 nt
Filed under: uncultured bacterium
Lineage: Bacteria
Description: partial 16S ribosomal RNA
Rfam family: Bacterial small subunit ribosomal RNA
Source: RNAcentral